This 962-nucleotide ribosomal RNA is filed under the name Halichondria sp. CML061801. Its description in RNAcentral is "SSU rRNA". It matches the Rfam family "Eukaryotic small subunit ribosomal RNA", at positions 33 to 995 of the family's 1831-position model. The record is from RNAcentral. Lineage: Eukaryota; Metazoa; Porifera; Demospongiae; Suberitida; Halichondriidae.
UGUCUCAAGACUAAGCCAUGCAUGUCUAAGUAUAAACGCUUCUAUACUGUGAAACUGCGAAUGGCUCAUUAAAUCAGUUAUAGUUUAUUUGAUGGUUUCUUACUACUUGGAUAACCGUGGUAAUUCUAGAGCUAAUACAUGCACAAAGUCCCGACUCUUCGGAAGGGAUGUAUUUAUUAGAUCCAAAACCAAUGCGAGUCUCUCGGGGCUCGGUUCCUUGGUGAUUCAUGAUAACUGCUCGAACCGUAUGGCCCUUGCGCCGACGGUGCUUCAUUCAAAUUUCUGCCCUAUCAACUUUCGAUGGUACGGUAGUGGCCUACCAUGGUUGCAACGGGUGACGGAGAAUUAGGGUUCGAUUCCGGAGAGGGAGCCUGAGAAACGGCUACCACAUCCAAGGAAGGCAGCAGGCGCGCAAAUUACCCAAUCCCGACUCGGGGAGGUAGUGACAAUAAAUAACAAUGCCGGGCUAUUGUAGUCUGGCAAUUGGAAUGAGUACAAUCUAAAUCCCUUAACGAGGAACAAUUGGAGGGCAAGUCUGGUGCCAGCAGCCGCGGUAAUUCCAGCUCCAAUAGCGUAUAUUAAAGUUGUUGCAGUUAAAAAGCUCGUAGUUGGAUUUCGGGGUGGCCUGCCUGGUCCACCGCAAGGUGAGUACUGGUCAGCCGCCCUUCCUCUCGAAAGCCCCGACUGCUCUUUACUGCAGUGGUCGGGUAGUUCGGGACGUUUACUUUGAAAAAAUUAGAGUGUUCAAGGCAGGCUAUCGCCUGAAUACAUUAGCAUGGAAUAAUGGAAGAGGACCUCGGUCCUAUUUUGUUGGUUUCUAGGGCCGAAGUAAUGAUUAAGAGGGACAGUUGGGGGCAUUCGUAUUUAAUUGUCAGAGGUGAAAUUCUUGGAUUUAUGAAAGACGAACUAGUGCGAAAGCAUUUGCCAAGGAUGUUUUCAUUAAUCAAGAACGAAAGUUAGGG